This 214-nucleotide long non-coding RNA is filed under the name Elaeis guineensis (African oil palm). RNAcentral describes it as "long non-coding RNA (EGUI_LNC014225)". The record is from RNAcentral. Lineage: Eukaryota; Viridiplantae; Streptophyta; Magnoliopsida; Arecales; Arecaceae.
AGCUGCUGGCCUUUAUGAGAUUUUGGAAUAGAGAGAUCUUCGACUGUUUUGCUAUUUUGAUAGCUGUGAAAUUAUUAUUAGACUGUCAUUUUGACAAGAUAAUUUGGCACCAGACAUCAUUUCAGGAAGAUAAUUUAGUACCGAAUGAUUUAAUUCUGACUAGUAGAUCUUGACCAUAUGUCCGAACAUCAUUAUGCCGGAGCUGUUCACAUGG